Long non-coding RNA from Frieseomelitta varia, 236 nucleotides. RefSeq lists it as uncharacterized. The record is from RefSeq and is a predicted model, not a curated record. The transcript is spliced from 3 exons. NCBI's taxonomy places the organism in Eukaryota, Metazoa, Arthropoda, Insecta, Hymenoptera, Apidae.
GGUCGUGCAAGGGGGAGGGGGGGGUUAGAGGUGGUUCCGCAAGGGUCGAGCGGGCGGGGAAGGGCGAAUAUAGGUAGGUCGGAGGUGAGAAGGUGGUAGAGGUGGAGGUAGCAAUUAACUUCUCCUCGCGAGAUUAGAGCGAGAUAUUACGAGAUAUCGAGCGACUUAACGGCAACACGCGAGAGACUUCAAAGGCAGUAAUAAACUGCCUCUAAUGAACCCCUUAUCGUUGCUAC